CAAACCAAAGCUGGCGACCGGCGCACGGGUGAGUAACACGUAUCCAACCUGCCUCAUACUCGGGGAUAGCCUUUCGAAAGAAAGAUUAAUAUCCGAUAGCAUAUAUUUCCCGCAUGGGUUUAUAUUAAAGAAAUUCGGUAUGAGAUGGGGAUGCGUUCCAUUAGUUUGUUGGGGGGUAACGGCCCACCAAGACUACGAUGGAUAGGGGUUCUGAGAGGAAGGUCCCCCACAUUGGAACUGAGACACGGUCCAA
This 253-nucleotide ribosomal RNA is filed under the name uncultured bacterium. Its description in RNAcentral is "partial 16S ribosomal RNA". It matches the Rfam family "Bacterial small subunit ribosomal RNA", at positions 74 to 334 of the family's 1533-position model. The record is from RNAcentral.